RNAcentral lists this transfer RNA (85 nucleotides) under Escherichia coli. RNAcentral describes it as "tRNA-Leu". It matches the Rfam family "tRNA". From Rfam's summary of the family: Transfer RNA (tRNA) molecules are approximately 80 nucleotides in length. Their secondary structure includes four short double-helical elements and three loops (D, anti-codon, and T loops). Further hydrogen bonds mediate the characteristic L-shaped molecular structure. tRNAs have two regions of fundamental functional importance: the anti-codon, which is responsible for specific mRNA codon recognition, and the 3' end, to which the tRNAs corresponding amino acid is attached (by aminoacyl-tRNA synthetases). tRNAs cope with the degeneracy of the genetic code in two manners: having more than one tRNA (with a specific anti-codon) for a particular amino acid; and 'wobble' base-pairing, i.e. permitting non-standard base-pairing at the 3rd anti-codon position. The record is from RNAcentral. Lineage: Bacteria; Pseudomonadati; Pseudomonadota; Gammaproteobacteria; Enterobacterales; Enterobacteriaceae.
GCGAAGGUGGCGGAAUUGGUAGACGCGCUAGCUUCAGGUGUUAGUGUCACUUACGGACGUGGGGGUUCAAGUCCCCCUCGCACCA